RNAcentral lists this transfer RNA (92 nucleotides) under Oscillospiraceae bacterium. RNAcentral describes it as "tRNA-Ser". It matches the Rfam family "tRNA". Rfam says of the family: Transfer RNA (tRNA) molecules are approximately 80 nucleotides in length. Their secondary structure includes four short double-helical elements and three loops (D, anti-codon, and T loops). The record is from RNAcentral. Lineage: Bacteria; Bacillati; Bacillota; Clostridia; Eubacteriales; Oscillospiraceae.
GGAAAGGUGGCUGAGCUGGUCUAAGGCGCACGAUUGGAAAUCGUGUGUGGGCCAAUACCCCACCGAGAGUUCGAAUCUCUCCCUUUCCGCCA